Poeciliopsis prolifica (blackstripe livebearer) is the source of this 538-nucleotide long non-coding RNA. RefSeq lists it as uncharacterized. Lineage: Eukaryota; Metazoa; Chordata; Actinopteri; Cyprinodontiformes; Poeciliidae. The transcript has 4 exons. The record is from RefSeq and is a predicted model, not a curated record.
GCCGAGGGUCCGAGCGGAAGCCCGCCGAGUGAGGUAGCUGUAGGGGUCCGAGUGGACCACGUCGAGGCGGAAACGAAAGAAGAGGAAGGAUAAAGAUGUCGGAGAGACGAAGAAAAGCUUUUCGAAGUGGUUGAAAGACAGUAGCUUUCAUGUUUGCUUGUCUAAGAGAGAGAGGUGACAGCGGAGGGAGGCCUAAACAUCUAUGAAAACGAUGACGUCUCGGUGAGCUGCAAACACACUAUUCCUCACGUCAGCCUGGCUGGCGAUAGUAUCAACAUCCAUGGAGAACAAAGUUGGUUAUCUUUGUCCACGACGACUCCACUCACCCUGCAGCGAUUGCCACAGCAGCCUUGUCCACAGCAACCCUUGCCCCCGGCCCUGAUAGCUGAGCAGCUCGGGCACAGCAUCUAUAAGUGCACAAAAACAAACGAUCAUCAGUGCUGUUGAACUGAAGAUGGGAUUCACAACAAAAAAAACACAACAACUGUUCAGUGUGUCCUGCAAUGCUGAUGUUGCCUAAUAAAUGCGUGACUCUACA